CUUUUUACGGUUCAUCUGUUAGCUAUUCUGAUUGAUUUGAUUGGUUGUGCGAACAUAUGCAUAUGGUUGCUUAGAUAACUCUCAAAUGAAGCUGGACAUUGCCAGCGUUGCUGACUCCUGGGUCUUCACUUAAGUACUUUGAAGUUUUUAUUUGUCCUGAGGUUUUCAACUGCUUUAUCCAAAAAUAGUGGUGACUCGUGGGGUUUAGCUUCUAAUCAUUACUUGUGCCACAGGUUAGGUUUCUCACAAAAAUAUACCAUCCCAAUAUUGAAAAGCAUUCAAGCUUUUUUUGAGCGCUCCAAACCCCAAUGAUCCGCUAUCUGAGAAUAUCGCUAAGCAUUGGAAUACAAAUGAGGCUGAAGUUGUGGAAACAGUUUCUAUGUCUUUUGUGGUUUUACGGGGUCUCUGUAGCUGGUUCUCCAAUCAUGUAGUACUUUGAAUGAUUGAGAUUCAGGUGACAAAUUUUUAUUAG
Molecule: long non-coding RNA, 472 nt
Organism: Syzygium oleosum
Lineage: Eukaryota; Viridiplantae; Streptophyta; Magnoliopsida; Myrtales; Myrtaceae
Exons: 2
Source: RefSeq, a predicted model, not a curated record